UUUAAACUCAUUUUUUAAACUCUAACGUCAGAAAUACAAUUUUAGCGGCUUUUUAUAUUUAAAUAUGUAUGGAAAGCAAAAUAACCGAAGAGCUGAAAGCAAAAAAAAAUAUGUCCCGUUCGGUCGAUUUCUCGAUAAUCAAACAGUCAUCGAGCUCUAUUUGUACUAGGAAUCUAGAAAUCAGCACAAGUGGAUCUGUCAAAACAAUAAGUGACAUCCCAAAAGUUAUGUUUAUUAAGUAAAUCCCUUGCAAUACAAAUAAACGUAAACAAACAAAAAGAAAUACACAAGUACACGAACUUAUGCAUAAAUUGAACGUCAUUGAAAGGGAAGAAGGCUAAACCCAGCAAACAAAAGAAUAUUUAAUAAAAACUAUCAAUAUAUAACAAUGAACAUUAAAGUUACUUCUUGAAGCUGAAAAUUGAUAGGGUCAACAAGGCACCAAGCCCUUCAUAGUAUAAAUAAGUAAAACUAACUUAUACGGUUAAUUUAAUAUUAACCAUUUUCAAUGGCAAACAAACCUUAUUAGAGAUUUUCAAUUGACAGACACGACUAGAUGGCCUUUCACGAAAUGUUCACUAGGUAUACAUGUGUAGAAACAAAAACAAUUUAUUUUCUCUCUUGUCAUACAACCAAAUAACGAAUGAAACAAUUCCAUUGGAUGGACAUUAUCGAAAUUAUUAAAAUCGUAAUAGGCAAGCACGUCAAUGAAAUUUUCUACCAGUUCAACAUGAAAUCUAACAAGUAUUAAAUUUAUUUUGGAAGUUUAAUGACACAAAUACAAAAUAAAACAUAAAUAUUCCAAGAGUUUUUGUUAAAUGAAAAAAGUGUAAAUGAAAUCGCUGUAUACGAUAGAAUAUACAUGAUUGUAUAAUAAUAUACGUUUAGAAAUGAGACAACAAAAUAGUACAUAACAAAAUGAAAAAGAGAUAGUGUGUUGCAUUUCCUUGUAUCUCCUGAUGUAUUGGAAUCAUAAUUCAAAAUGUUUAGUGAUUCUUUGGGUACACACCACAAUAGUAUGGUUGUUGUUUUUUGUUGAUUUGACGAUACUUUUGCAACACUGUUUAUAGACAGAAUGAGUGCAAACAUGCAGUUAACAACAACAAAAUACAUACUGAGUGACGUUUAAAAUAAAAAAAAAACAAUUCCAUGAAGAAUUCGGUUAAUAAAAUGUUCACUGACGUAAAUGCAUGCAAAAGAUGAUGGUCCGCCAAUUAAGCACGGACCAAUAUAAGGUGAAAGACACAGUUGGAUAGUAACCCAAGGCAUGUCAGAAAGGAUCUUCGUAUAUACUAGGAAAACAUAUGCAGAUAUGUGCAGAAUCCAUUGGAUCAGUCCUCGUAUUCGGCAGCUUUAAACGACAUUCGUAGAGAUGUCAUAAAUUCGCAGGAUAACGCAUGAAUGUCGUACUUGGAGGUCGCCCAUAGCAGACACUGAAGAAAACCUUCCGCAAAAAACAAGAGUAAUUCGAGCACAACUAAGACCGGGAUGGAGCAACAGGCUCAAUGCCUACUGGUCACGUAUAGACCGUGCCGUCCCCAACGAAUGUCCUGCAUGUGGUCAGGGCCCUCAUGACACCUAGUUUAAUGGAUUUAUGGACGCAUCCAGUUGAAGUAGCCCAAGACCUGGAAAUUGAUGUAGAACCCCCCCUAAAGUGGUGUAGGGUAUUAAAAGUCUAUUAUUUUCGGUUUGAAAUCUUUCAAUUUGAUUCAAAGUAUGUAAUUUUAUUGUAACGUCAUGUUGUAGUAAAUAAGCGAUAUGUACAAAUAAAUGUACAAUAUAUAAAUAUUGA
Molecule: long non-coding RNA, 1792 nt
Filed under: Lucilia cuprina (Australian sheep blowfly)
Lineage: Eukaryota; Metazoa; Arthropoda; Insecta; Diptera; Calliphoridae
Description: uncharacterized LOC124421319
Source: RNAcentral